GUCCCCUUCGUCUAGAGGCCUAGGACACCGCCCUUUCACGGCGGUAACAGGGGUUCGAUUCCCCUUGGGCGUACCA
This 76-nucleotide transfer RNA is filed under the name Mesorhizobium sp. RNAcentral's name for it is "tRNA-Glu". It matches the Rfam family "tRNA". Rfam says of the family: Transfer RNA (tRNA) molecules are approximately 80 nucleotides in length. Their secondary structure includes four short double-helical elements and three loops (D, anti-codon, and T loops). The record is from RNAcentral. Lineage: Bacteria; Pseudomonadati; Pseudomonadota; Alphaproteobacteria; Hyphomicrobiales; Phyllobacteriaceae.